RNAcentral lists this ribosomal RNA (276 nucleotides) under uncultured bacterium. RNAcentral's name for it is "partial 16S ribosomal RNA". It matches the Rfam family "Bacterial small subunit ribosomal RNA", at positions 524 to 795 of the family's 1533-position model. The record is from RNAcentral.
UACGUAGGGUGCAGGCGUUAAUCGGAAUUACUGGGCGUAAAGCGUGCGCAGGCGGUUUGCUAAGACAGGUGUGAAAUCCCCGGGCUUAACCUGGGAACUGCGCUUGUAACUGGCAAGCUAGAGUGUGGCAGAGGGGGGUGGAAUUCCACGUGUAGCAGUGAAAUGCGUAGAGAUGUGGAGGAACACCGAUGGCGAAGGCAGCCCCCUGGGACGUAACACCUGCGCUCAUGCACGAAAGCGUGGGGAGCAAACAGGAUUAGAGUACCCCAAGUAGUC